CCGGCUGCCCCUUCACUCCGCGCUGGCUUCCAGCAGACUCAGCCCGGCGGCGCGCGAGCUCAGUCUGUCUCCCCUGACUUUGCCUGUCUCGCUCUUGCCCUUUCCUUAUCUGCGCUCCCUUCUCUCUCCUUCGGUUUUCCAUUCCACCUUUCCUCUCCUGCUCCCCUUUCUGUGCACCCCGCUCCUGGACUACCCCUUCCUCUAACUCACCAGUUUCCCUUCCCCUUUCCCCACCUCCUGCCCGGAAAGGCUGGACUUCUCUGUUCUAGGACCAAGGUGGGGGUUUUCUUUGCCGCAUCGGGGUUCCCAGACUGGUCCAGAACCUCCGCGCUCCUGCCCCCAAUUUCAAAUCAGCCUUUCCACCUCAGUCACAGGGGCAGAGUUUCAGCCCUACAGCUUCGAUGUGGACUCAGAGCGCUCAGCCUUUGCCACGGGACACUGCUGCCUCGCCUUCUUGUGUGCCUGUCCCUCCACCUGAAGAGAUCUCCCCCUGCUCAGGUCAAAGCCUCUUCUACAAAGAUGGCCUGCUGUUGAGCGACCUCUGUGCCAUGAUCAGGAAAGCACCUUGGAAGUAGAAUCAACCUUCGAGAAAAGUGGAAUCUUCAGUGGGAGGUGUAAUACAGCAACAGAAAACCAAACUCACUAAACUCAGGACCCAUCCUGGUCAGGCCGAGUGGCCUUUGUGAAGGCACUUAAUUGUUUUGUACCCUG
RNAcentral lists this long non-coding RNA (711 nucleotides) under Fukomys damarensis (Damara mole-rat). RNAcentral's name for it is "lncRNA (ENSFDAG00000028678.1)". The record is from RNAcentral. Lineage: Eukaryota; Metazoa; Chordata; Mammalia; Rodentia; Bathyergidae.